RNAcentral lists this ribosomal RNA (519 nucleotides) under bacterium SL3.21. RNAcentral describes it as "bacterial SSU rRNA". It matches the Rfam family "Bacterial small subunit ribosomal RNA", at positions 59 to 589 of the family's 1533-position model. The record is from RNAcentral.
CAGUCGUACGAUGAAGCCGGUACUUGCUCUGGUGGAUUAGUGGCGAACGGGUGAGUAACACGUGAGUAACCUGCCCUUGACUCUGGGAUAAGCGUUGGAAACGACGUCUAAUACCGGAUACGAGCUUCAGCCGCAUGGCUAGGAGCUGGAAAGAACUUCGGUCAAGGAUGGACUCGCGGCCUAUCAGCUAGUUGGUGAGGUAAUGGCUCACCAAGGCGACGACGGGUAGCCGGCCUGAGAGGGUGACCGGCCACACUGGGACUGAGACACGACCCAGACUACUACGGGAGGCAGCAGUGGGGAAUAUUGCACAAUGGGCGCAAGCCUGAUGCAGCAACGCCGCGUGAGGGACGACGGCCUUCGGGUUGUAAACCUCUUUUAGCAGGGAAGAAGCGAAAGUGACGGUACCUGCAGAAAAAGCACCGGCUAACUACGUGCCAGCAGCCGCGGUAAUACGUAGGGUGCAAGCGUUGUCCGGAAUUAUUGGGCGUAAAGAGCUCGUAGGCGGUCUGUCGCGUC